AAUCCCUCCUAUACUA
This 16-nucleotide transfer RNA is filed under the name Crotaphytus bicinctores. RNAcentral describes it as "partial tRNA-Met". Lineage: Eukaryota; Metazoa; Chordata; Lepidosauria; Squamata; Crotaphytidae. The record is from RNAcentral.